This 397-nucleotide long non-coding RNA is filed under the name Solanum tuberosum (potato). Its description in RNAcentral is "long non-coding RNA (STUB_LNC005073)". Lineage: Eukaryota; Viridiplantae; Streptophyta; Magnoliopsida; Solanales; Solanaceae. The record is from RNAcentral.
GCAGUUCCAAUAUUAUCCUCCCCUUGAAUCCAAUUUCCUUCUCUUUGGAUAUGAAGUUUGCUUCUCCUACCUCUAACUAUUGAAUGGAAAAUUUUGGUAUUAUCAUCGCCUUCCAAAUCCCACUUCAGGUUAGCUUCUGUCUACAAAAGGCAUCCAUUUGUUUAUGACGGACAAUACCUUCAGCCUUGUAUCUAUGGAGCAUAAUCAUGUCCUCUUGAUUGAGAGAUUGCAUAUAGGAAGGAGUCUUCAUAAUGAUUAAUCAGAUCCUCAAGUUUUCGGGCCUUCAAGAAAGUAUCACCAAUGAUGUUUCUAGACCAACUGCUCAAGGCUUUGCUGGUAUUCUUCAUUUUCUGUUGUAUUUCCCAGAAUGUGUUUCCUUUAGUAUGAGAGAUCUAAC